RNAcentral lists this long non-coding RNA (7612 nucleotides) under Homo sapiens (human). RNAcentral describes it as "HSALNT0301896". The record is from RNAcentral. Lineage: Eukaryota; Metazoa; Chordata; Mammalia; Primates; Hominidae.
UCUGAUUUUAUUAACCAGCAUUGAUGUACACUGUUCUGUCUUGCACACAUAUGGUUGUAUGGAUAGAUGUAAUCUCACCUUCAAUGUUUAGCAAAUAUUUACAGUGAAUGAAUUAAUGAAUACUUGUAAGAAUGGCAAGUUACAAUAGCUUUCAAUAGGUUCAGAGGAAUAUUUAAGUGCUGCAAAAAUUAACUUAAAAUACCAAGAUCAAGGCAUAGACCACUUUUCAAUCUCAUUACCCCGAGUACCAUAAUGGCAGAAACUACAAGGUUUCAUGCUUCUUUCAAAUUAUCGAAUUGCCUUGGAGCUCAGGGCUUUAGUAUUUCCAGGUGCUGGUCAUCUGCUUUUGACUUGUAUGAAUCUGAGACUCAUUUAUCUUUGUUAUGGCCACAAUUCACCUUGAAAGACAAUGGGGGCAUCUCCUUGAAUAAGAGAAAUGGAAAUGUGCUUGGAGAUGUGAGUCUGGCUGUGAGUGUGUGUGUGCACAAGCACUUUUAAACAGUGAUAACAGGUUUGGCACAUGUAAGUAUAUGAGUCAUUGAGAAAACAUCCUGGAUGUUUUUCCCUCUUCCCUCUAUGGUAUUCUGUGGAUACAUAUUUAUCCUUUCAGCCAUUUUCCUCUUCUUUUACAGAUAUCCUUGAUCACCUCCUGGGGCACCAUUUGAAAAAGUGUGGUCUGGUGCUGCAUUUUAUGUGCAGCAAAGAACCUUAGAAUAAUGAUUUGAAAUAGACACAAUGUGCAGUUUUCAAGAGAGGGACUUUGAAGUGUUAUUUCCAGAGUUACGGUCAAAUCUCUUAAAUCGAGUUUUAUUUUAACUUAUUUUAAAGCUGGACUUUGAGACUCAAUGCUUUGGUGAGUGAUAGUGGCAUUUCCCUGGACUGAAUGUGCCAUAUUUUAAUUUAAGACUCUUUUGUGGAUAACUUUAAUCUUUGUUAUAACAUAGGAGAAACAAAAUAAUUUCUUAACUCAGUGGAAGUUACAGAAGAAUACUUUAGGUAGAGUUCAAAAAUUCUCACUGGGGAAUAUAGGGUUUGGAUUUCUCUCGUUCUUAAGCAUUCUCCCAAAAUUUGGUAUAGAGCCUGAUUCACAGUAGAUACUCAAUAAAUACUUGUUGAUUCAAUGAAUAAAUGAUUUUGGCUGUAAGUAAAAUGUCCCUGAGCCUAUGACAGGGAAAGCUUUGAUUUUCCUUUGUUUAGGUUAGUUUAAUGGAGUCACACUAAAGUUUAUAAAGAUCAAUACAAUAUGAAUGGCUAAUUGACAAACAUUUAUAUUUCAGUGUUAGGAAAUAUGGUAAGAUUAGGAAAACAAUUAAGACAAUGAUUUAUACAGAAUUGACUAGUUCAGGCAAUGAAAACUUCACAGAUUACAGUUUAACACGAUUAAACAUCACAUAUAACAUACAUGUAUGACAAACAAUGCUUCUGCUUUUGAUAUUAACAUACCAUCAAUUUUACACAUGAAAAAUAUUGCCAGUUCAACUUUGGGUUAUAACAUGUAUAAUUUUUUGAUAAGACAUUUCAAAUUACAACAUAUCUCAGGCAGCAUGCAGGAAGAGUCAUUUAUUGUAUGUUUGUUAGGACACACCUUGCAACAAGCUUCCAGUUUUUGGUAGUUAGAUCAAGAAUAUAGAAACCAUUGAAAUGAUAGUAUGGUUGAAAUCAGCAGUUGUGUUUACUGGCUGAGAGCAUUUCUGGUAAAAAUAAAACUCUGAAAUCAUUCAUUAACAAAAUGCACAGUGAUCAUAAACUCAAUUCUUUAAAAAUUGUUUUUCACAAUUCUCAUUUAUUGGUGAUAUGGCAGCUGCAGGAAGUCUGAAUUCUGAGAGUUGGUUGUACAUAACCUCAGGAAUUUAUUCUUCUGUGGGCUUACAUGAUUACGACAGAGAUGCUUACCCUUUGAAAUCACAUAUAACGAUGGUGCUAUACAAACAUCACAAAUAUUUGGUGUCUGAGUCUUAACAAAUAUUAUGUUUUUUUUUAAUCACAAAGAGACUAGAUUAACAGGCAGUGUAAAUCACAUAUAUCUUAAGAUUUUAAAAAUACAUUUUAUACAAUAGGUUUCUAAUUUCUUCACUAGCAUUUUAUUUUGGUGUGUUUUGUCUUCAUACUUAUAGUCCUAAAGGAAACUAUGAAUCUCUGGCUCAUGCCAUGAAAGUCAGUAAGAUUGAUAUUUCCCCACAGGAAUAUGGCUGAGUGUACAUUGAAUCACAGAGUCAACAAAGUAACAUCUAAUUUACAACAGAUUACUUUUAAAAUUCAAAUAAAAUCUAAUUAUUUUAAAAGACAUCAGUUUGAACAAAAUUAUAGGAGUCAAAAUUUUUAUUUACAAAACAUUUGAGUAUAUUUGAAAUGGCUAGUUCUUGCUAACUGCACAACUUAAAUAUUCUUGGUGCACAUAGUCUGUCAACCUUCUGUACAACAUUGUUAGACUGCUCAGUUAACUUACAUGGAAUGGUUAGGUAGGUGGGAAAAUUAUAUGGCAAUUUUCAUCCAUUCAAAGUGCUUGAAAGGGAAUGUUUUGAUGCUUUUCAUAUUAGAGAAGAUCUGUCAUUAAUGUUGGUGCCUUUAAUUUGAAAAGAUUAGCUAAAAUUUCCAAAAUGUAAUUUAGUGCAGUAUAAGAAUUAUAGGAAAGAUUGAUAAAUUUAUCAUCAAAUGCUGGAAUUCUAAUCUAGCAUUAUGCAGUUGAUCCAAGUCAUUGUACCUCUCAUUUACAAGGCUUCUGUGUACUACAUUGGCUUAAAAAAUAUUUUCCUUGGUCCUUAGAAAUACAAAAUAUUCAUUUUCAAAAGUUAGAGAAUGUUAGGGUGUUUCUUACAAUCACAUUCAUAAUAAAAGAAGAUAAUCUACAUUUUACAGAUCAUUAAACAAUGGUCUUUGGCAGAAGACUUUAUAAAUACCUCCACUUUUAACGUUUCGUUUAGGCCAUUUUCCUUUUUAAUGAUAUCAGGUAUAUGGUCACGUGUUCACUAAGAGUAGUUAAUAGGAAAAUACCACAGAUAUAAAAAUAUUUGUUUAGUGCAUUUUUUUGAACCUUCAAUUCAGAGUGAAUCAACUCAUUAAUACUAGAGAAGAUACUUUAUGCAAGCAUUUCUAACAGUGUUGCUUAAGAUCAUAAUUUCAACAAUAUGGUCAGCAAAGAGAGUAUGUAUACCUCUAUUCCCCCACAAAAUUUUAUCACUGAAACACACUGAAAGAAUGUGCUGGAAUCUUUUUCAUUAUAAUACAUUGUGUUUCCCACAAAAUGAGUAAUAUAUGAUGCAUAUACCAUUAUGUGUGUGUGUCUGUGCGUGCACUCGAACGGCAAGUCGUGGAGAUUACAUUCAUUGGCAGCAAAGAAUAGAAACGGAAAAAUUCAGUUAAGUAUUACUGAUAAACCACCACUAAGGAAUUUCAAAGUGUAGUGAAGUUAUUUAGAAAUAACCGUAGACAUGGGAACAAACUUUAGGAUCAACUACGGGAAUAUUAGGAUUUCUUACUUCAUUUUUCAAGGUAACAUCUUUUUCUCUGCAUUUUUGCCUCCCUUCUACCUGCCCCCUGUCAGUCUUUGAAGGUCAUUUGUGAUGGGUCCUUCAAACUGUGAAUACAGAAUAUGAAUAGGCUAUUCUUCCCUUUUUUGCCCUGUAUAGGAAAUUCAUGAUCACCUCUUAGGGAGACAAGGUUUCUGGCAUUAUGAUAUGCCACCCUUUUCUUUAUGGAUUGACUAUUGUGCUUGCUCGGUAUGAGUUCAGUUUACUAUCAAAAUUGUCCACCAAGUUAUUCAGUGGGAAACACAAUUGCCAUCAGUAACCAUCAAAGGCAAGAGAAGUCCUAGAUUCAUUUCCUACCUGAAUCCUCCCUUCUGGCCUGCCCCUCUGAGAACACUCCAAAGGCACAGACCAGUGUUCUGUGCACGUACACAGUAUGUACAAUAUGCUAGUUCCUUUCUUUGCCCUUGUCCAGGAAGUUACCAAUGUCUCCUCGGUGUGAGCUUCCUACUGUCUGUAAAAAUUAAUAGAUGGAACCCAGGCAAGUCCUGUUGUAAUAACAGUUGUGCCAACAAUUAUUAUUAUGGCUUAUUGGAAGAGUGUUGAAUUGUACCACUGACCUACGAAAACCACCACAAAGGACACUGAAAGGCAAAGCUGUUGUGGGAUAAGAAACAAUUUGCUGUUAUCUUCUAAUAUCAAGACCUUUUUAAUGGACCACACACAUAAGGGUCUUGACAAUAUGUAACUUUUUUUCUUAAGCUAAGAGAAAAUUUUAAUUUAGGCUUGUUUCAAGAUUUCAAGGCUUGAGCCAAUACAGAAACCAUGGACUGUAGACAAAGGCAAGUCCCCACUGUAAUUUAGCCUUGAGCUUAAGAGUUUCUGUUAAAAAAAGAGAGAAAGAGAAAACAAGAAAUCAACCACUAUGGACGGCAAAAGUUGGGAAUGAGGUCAAGGCUCCUCAUUGUUUGAAAUAGUCUGAGUGAAACCCUGUCAGUCUGAUCCAGCUCCUUCCCCUGCAAAGAUGUAUUUCCCGUCACGAAGUGGCCAGAAGUGGGUGAUUGUUCUAAGUACCUUGUUGGUGAGGCUUUAACUUUGAUUAAAAAAUAGGGUGUGCAAAUGAAGAUGUACACAAUGGUGGAAACACAGGAAGGAGUGACUGUGAUUUCGUUAGAGCUAUUUGGUAAUCAGGUGUGAGUGAGAGGAAUGGGACAAUGGGGAAAAGAGCCGAUGAGAAAAUGUCCUCAGCGACAGACAAUGGACACUCAAAUGCUGAAGCUAUGACCAGCAACAGGGGAGGGUCACAGAUUUUAAAGCACACGGAACACAGUAUCAUACUUCAGUUAUUCUAAUUCCUGAAAAAGAGCUACCAUUCCAAAAUAUCUGACAAGUUUGGUUUCUCCUAAGGGAGGCCUGGAGUGACAGUUACAACAUUUUUCUCCAGAAUAUCACUGUUAAGCUUACAUUUCCAGCCUCCUUUUACAUACUUUGAAUUGCUUUUGUGUAUCAAAAUGCAUAUGAGUAUUUUAAGUAUCCACAAAUGUGAUAUUUUCAGGUUAGAAUUCAGGAAACAUACAUGUGUGUGCACACAUACACACAUAUAACCCACAAUCUUAAGUUCCUUUUCCUAAGCCAUUUUUACAAGCAGAGUUACUUUCUGACUCUCUGCUUUCAGUUCUGCACCAAUUCAAAUGAGAGACCCUAGAAAGGAGCCUCCAGGGAACUCCAGCUACUGUAUACAUCAUCUGUGGUUUUCAAGCUUCUUGAGCCUUGUGAGUCUUUGAAAAUGAAUUCUAAAACUAAAACUCACUCAUAGCCAGCAAUCCUUUUAGCUCAGUCAGUCAUACACAGCACUCUUCAAAACAGUAGACUGUGUCAUUAAGUAUAAUUUAGUACUGUUACACAGUGGUUUAGCAUUAAGACAAAUCAGCCAGAGCUAAUCAGUUAGAGAAAGGUGUCCAGGGUCAUUUUCUAGGCCCCGGGGAAGUCAGGCAAAGUAGAUCAGCUGUGGGGUUUUAAAAGAACUAGAUAAGCUGAUUAGAAAUCUCUGACUGGAGAGGCUGCCUCAGACUCAGUUAUGCCAGAAAAAGACAUAAGGAUUAAUGUCCCUUAAAAUUAUAUUUUAAGUCUGAAUGGUGGACAUAUCUCCCAUAUAUCUGAAUGCAUUAUCUUUAUAAAGAACCUACCUUUUAAGCAUUUAAACCUUUUCUUAAGGGAAAGCAUAAUUAAGCAGUGGGUGACAUUGUUCAUUCUUGGCCACUCAGAAUGCUGUGUCAUAGAUCAAUGAUUCUCAAAUUUGAGCAUGCAUCAGAACCAUCCUAGGGGCUUAUUAAAGUCCAUAUUGCCAGGGUCACUCCAAAAUUUUUGAUUCAUAGAUCUGGGCUGAAGUCUCAGGUGGGACUGGAUAAUUUGCAUGUCUAACAAAUUUCCAGUUGCUGAUGCUGCUUGUUUGGGGAACAAACUUGAGACUCACAAAAGCGGCUUAUUUUUAAUCACCCUAAUUGCACUCUGGGGACAAAGAUUUUCCAUGUGGAAUGUGAAGGUCAAUAUUGGAUUUCCCCCACCAGACAUUCUUACAAUGUGGGUAAGGGACAGAUUAUAUUUGUGCUAGUUUAAUUAUAGAGAAUCUUUAGGUUCAGAAGUUUAAUCAGUAUAUACAGCAAACCUAUAAGUAAAAUAUGAUUCAAAAUGUGAGUCCCUACAAGUCUAUUUGUAGAAAAUUCUAUGGCCUCUAUUCAUAGAAUACUAUUUUAGUAAUAGCGUUAAAAUGAUCUCUUGUCACCUAGGUGAUAUUUUCUCUCUCACCUCAGGAUUAUUACCAUAACAGCUAAAUUUGUUCACAAUUUCUUGAAUGAACACAAGGGUUUGCUGACUUGGUUUUUUUUUUUUUCCUAGUCAAAUCCAUUUUAAAGUAUAUCAAAUGCAAGGACUUAUAGAAAAGAGUGAACAGAGGGAAGGAACAUCAAGGGGCAAUGCAUGAAAUUCAGUUGGUGAAAAAUUAAGUUGAGCAACUGUCGGGACAUGUAAUUAGAAUCUGCAGUUUGUUCAACUGCUAGGUGGAUGUGGGUCAAUCCAAGAGGCGGGAUUGGUGCAAGAAGUUGAGGAAGACGAGAUGAGCGUGUGUGAAUGAGCAGCUGUCUGUGAGGAAGAAAGGCUAAAUCUAUUCACAGGUUCUCUUCCUUAAACAAGCACCUGCCACUGAUUGACAGCUCUACCAAGAUUGCUUAAGGCAGACAUCCGCUGAAAAUGCUUAUGGUGCAUACUUGUUUUUAAAAAGAUGGAAAAACCUGCCUUCUCAAUUUAGUAUUUCCUAAUCAAAUCUGAAAUGGGGGGCAAAUUCAACGUGAGGGAUUUAUUAAAAUAUGAAAAUACAGUCCUUACUGCAUUAAAAUAGCUCUAUAUAGAAAUUUAUAAUGAGAGAAGGAAAAGUAAUUUUAUCCCUUGGCAGAAGUCUUAGUAAUCACUGGAAUUAUAACAGAAAUAUUAGCUAUUUUAAUUUUCUUUCUCAAUAUUGAGUCUCACAAGAUCAUUUUAUCGGUUGCAAUGUCAGUAAUUUUUGCUUACCUUUCCCCCUGACAAAUUUAGCUUUGUGCCUCAGUGGUAAUAAAGUUGGAAUAUAUUACUGCUAUGAAGCUGAAAUAGUUUUGCCGUUUCCAAUGACAUUCUAACUGGGAUUCCUUCAAGAGAAAGCUUACAUUUAUUCCACUAAAACAUUCUUUGUUUAUGCAAGCAGAGUUCACUAUGGUUGCUUUUUCUUUCUUCUUUUCUUCCACCCCAUGGAAAUGUCUACAUUCUUUUGCUAUGUUUCGUCUGUUGUGCAAUUUCAUUUUGCUAAUGAGGCAUCUGAGCUGUGGCCGACCGGUUGAUUGCUAAGGGUAAUUAUCCAGUUGAUAUUUAUCUUGUUCCAGUCACCUUUAGAAAGCUGUUUGGUGAGUACAAUGUUAAUAUAGAGACAAUCAGAAUGGUGUGUGCUUUUGUACAAAACUUGUGGAUCCAUCAAUGAGGCAUCUGCCAUUUUUUCUUUCUUCCCCUCUAUAUUACAAGUUCUGGAAUGCCUGUUCUAAUUCUCCAAGGAGAAUUAGAAAAUAAAAGGCAGAGUCUAGAGCCAUGUCAAUAUCCUCCCACAGAAUGUGUAUGGAGAAUAUUCC